Molecule: ribosomal RNA, 429 nt
Filed under: Bacteroidota bacterium
Lineage: Bacteria; Pseudomonadati; Bacteroidota
Description: Bacteroidetes bacterium partial 16S ribosomal RNA
Rfam family: Bacterial small subunit ribosomal RNA
Source: RNAcentral
UAGGGAAUCUUCGGCAAUGGGGGGAACCCUGACCGAGCAACGCCGCGUGAGUGAAGAAGGUUUUCGGAUCGUAAAGCUCUGUUGUUAAGGAAGAACGAGUGUGAGAAUGGAAAGUUCAUACUGUGACGGUACUUAACCAGAAAGGGACGGCUAACUACGUGCCAGCAGCCGCGGUAAUACGUAGGUCCCGAGCGUUGUCCGGAUUUAUUGGGCGUAAAGCGAGCGCAGGCGGUUAGAUAAGUCUGAAGUUAAAGGCAGUGGCUCAACCAUUGUAGGCUUUGGAAACUGUUUAACUUGAGUGCAGGAGGGGAGAGUGGAAUUCCAUGUGUAGCGGUGAAAUGCGUAGAUAUAUGGAGGAACACCGGUGGCGAAAGCGGCUCUCUGGUCUGUAACUGACGCUGAGGCUCGAAAGCGUGGGGAGCGAACAGG